Molecule: non-coding RNA, 234 nt
Organism: Arachis ipaensis
Lineage: Eukaryota; Viridiplantae; Streptophyta; Magnoliopsida; Fabales; Fabaceae
Source: RefSeq, a predicted model, not a curated record
CUGAGCUACUUUCUCCGUUCUUUCUCAAACCGAAACCCCUAUCAAAAAUCUAAUCUUACCAAAGUGUUCACCUCUUCCUCCUCUUCAUUUCUAUGUCACUUUUCAUGGAGUAAAUCAAGGAUCUCUUAUUCAAUCACCAAAAGCUCCAAGAAAACGUGAUUUCUAGUUACCUUAAGGCGUAAAAGUGCUUCUGGAAGCUUGUUUUUGGUGCAAUCUCGGACAGCAGCAAAGGAG